GACGAACGCUGGCGGCGUGCCUAAUACAUGCAAGUAGAACGCUGAAGAGAGGAGCUUGCUCUUCUUGGAUGAGUUGCGAACGGGUGAGUAACGCGUAGGUAACCUGCCUUGUAGUGGGGGAUAACUAUUGGAAACGAUAGCUAAUACCGCAUAAUAGUAGAUGUUGCAUGACAUUUGCUUAAAAGGUGCAAUUGCAUCACUACCAGAUGGACCUGCGUUGUAUUAGCUAGUUGGUGGGGUAACGGCUCACCAAGGCGACGAUACAUAGCCGACCUGAGAGGGUGAUCGGCCACACUGGGACUGAGACACGGCCCAGACUCCUACGGGAGGCAGCAGUAGGGAAUCUUCGGCAAUGGACGGAAGUCUGACCGAGCAACGCCGCGUGAGUGAAGAAGGUUUUCGGAUCGUAAAGCUCUGUUGUAAGAGAAGAACGAGUGUGAGAGUGGAAAGUUCACACUGUGACGGUAUCUUACCAGAAAGGGACGGCUAACUACGUGCCAGCAGCCGCGGUAAUACGUAGGUCCCGAGCGUUGUCCGGAUUUAUUGGGCGUAAAGCGAGCGCAGGCGGUUAGAUAAGUCUGAAGUUAAAGGCUGUGGCUUAACCAUAGUACGCUUUGGAAACUGUUUAACUUGAGUGCAAGAGGGGAGAGUGGAAUUCCAUGUGUAGCGGUGAAAUGCGUAGAUAUAUGGAGGAACACCGGUGGCGAAAGCGGCUCUCUGGCUUGUAACUGACGCUGAGGCUCGAAAGCGUGGGGAGCAAACAGG
Molecule: ribosomal RNA, 765 nt
Filed under: uncultured Streptococcus sp.
Lineage: Bacteria; Bacillati; Bacillota; Bacilli; Lactobacillales; Streptococcaceae
Description: bacterial SSU rRNA
Rfam family: Bacterial small subunit ribosomal RNA
Source: RNAcentral